GACCCUUUGUUUUUUUCUAAAACAGAAUUCCCCCCUUUUUUGCUUUGCUAGGGUUUCCCCCUAGCGCCACACUUUAGGGUCAUCAGUGCCUCGCACCUCCACCUCUGCUGACAUCUUAUGGUGCGAAAUCAGCGCACAACGUGGAGAGGCGUGCAACGUGCGGUGCCUGGAGUCUGUCUUGGUUGCGGCGGCUGAAGGUGUUUGGCUGCUAGGGUUUCAAAGAAUGUUUAGGUUGCGGGCUUGGGUAUUGGGCUAGGUUUUUUAAUUUGGGCCUAGGUCUGUAGUUUUGUUUUAGGUAUUUAAUUUGGGCUGUAAUUUGGACUUGGUUUUUAUUUAGUUUGUUUUUGUUUUGGUUUUGGUAUUGGUCUGGGCCCCGGGCUGAACUUGGGUCCUACAAUAUAAUCAUCUUUAUUAAAAUAAAAAAAAUCAUACGGUGAUGAUAA
Gossypium arboreum is the source of this 443-nucleotide long non-coding RNA. RefSeq lists it as uncharacterized. The record is from RefSeq and is a predicted model, not a curated record. The transcript is spliced from 2 exons. Lineage: Eukaryota; Viridiplantae; Streptophyta; Magnoliopsida; Malvales; Malvaceae.